This is a long non-coding RNA of Hypomesus transpacificus, 483 nucleotides long. RefSeq lists it as uncharacterized. NCBI's taxonomy places the organism in Eukaryota, Metazoa, Chordata, Actinopteri, Osmeriformes, Osmeridae. The record is from RefSeq and is a predicted model, not a curated record. The transcript is spliced from 2 exons.
UUUUAGUUCUAAUGGGACAUGUCUCCUUUAAAUGCCAGAAAUCUAAGACAACAUAUAUAGGUAGUUUCUUGAUUGGUGUCGUAUUGAAUCCUGGGUAAGUGGACAGGAGAGAGCGUGGUGCAUCAAAGAAGGUGGCUGACUUGAGGGAAAGUUGGUGGUUUUUUACAUAAUAUUACGUCAGAUUAGCCAUACUGGUAUCAGCACACGUGUUGAGGAUCGGAAUGUGUGCGUGUUAACAGCAUGUAAGUGGGUAUUAUUUCUUUCAACAUACUGGUGUAUAUUUUGGUUUUAUGUAAUUGUUAGUGGUGUACUAAUGAUGUUUUUGUAUUUGUCUUUUUAGUAUCACCACUACCGUUUUGUACUGCUACAACUUAUUAUUUAUUUUAUUUUCUUACACGGCUAUUUGGGCUACAGUUUUGGAUAGGCUUAGCGCUAGCAUGUGUACCUGUUAAAAAUAUAUCAGAUAAAGAAUCCUGCUCUUUA